This 360-nucleotide ribosomal RNA is filed under the name Triticum aestivum (bread wheat). RNAcentral's name for it is "partial small subunit ribosomal RNA". The record is from RNAcentral. Lineage: Eukaryota; Viridiplantae; Streptophyta; Magnoliopsida; Poales; Poaceae.
AUGGGGAAGAAGCGGGAUGGGUUGAUGGCCGACCUAGUACAGGCCACCGUGUUAGACGCCACCAGGAAGAGCGAGGCCUUCUGCGUCACGCACCACGUGGCCAACGGCGGGUGCAUCAAGGACUUCCUUAGGGCGAUGGGCGAGUGCCACCCCGAGCUGGGGGACGGCGAGGACGUGGGUGAGUGCAUCAAUGCCACGGCGGCGCUGCGCCGCUGCUUUGCAGACAACCCGGCGAUGUCCAAGCACAUCUACCUCAAUCGCAUGGACGAGGGCCUCGACGAAGACCGGAAGCUGUCCCCAGAGCAGGUGAAGGAGGAGAGCAACAUGUUUAGGUGGUGGACUGGCAUGAGGAGAACAUGA